UACGUAGGGUGCAAGCGUUAAUCGGAAUUACUGGGCGUAAAGCGUGCGCAGGCGGUUUUGUAAGUCUGUCGUGAAAUCCCCGGGCUCAACCUGGGAAUUGCGAUGGAGACUGCAAGGCUAGAAUCUGGCAGAGGGGGGUAGAAUUCCACGUGUAGCAGUGAAAUGCGUAGAGAUGUGGAGGAACACCGAUGGCGAAGGCAGCCCCCUGGGUCAAGAUUGACGCUCAUGCACGAAAGCGUGGGGAGCAACAGGG
This 253-nucleotide ribosomal RNA is filed under the name uncultured bacterium. RNAcentral describes it as "partial 16S ribosomal RNA". It matches the Rfam family "Bacterial small subunit ribosomal RNA", at positions 524 to 776 of the family's 1533-position model. The record is from RNAcentral.